This 245-nucleotide long non-coding RNA is filed under the name Setaria viridis. RNAcentral describes it as "long non-coding RNA (SVIR_LNC001423)". Lineage: Eukaryota; Viridiplantae; Streptophyta; Magnoliopsida; Poales; Poaceae. The record is from RNAcentral.
UAGAGAUGAAAAAUGAUAGGAUAGCCAACCACGAGAUCGACAUCACAACAUCAUCCUCCACGACCUCAUGGUGUUAGAUUAAAUGGGCCGGUGGCCUAUUAAUUCAAUUAAAUCCCAAGGCCCAUUCACAUGGUGGUAGUUACAUUUGGAAUAAAACCACGUUGGAAGUUGAGAGGGUCCUAACCAACUUAUAAGGUGGAGCCUUGCUGCACCUGUUGAGAAGUUAAGAAAGGGAUAGCAGGAUG